RNAcentral lists this ribosomal RNA (621 nucleotides) under uncultured bacterium. Its description in RNAcentral is "bacterial SSU rRNA". It matches the Rfam family "Bacterial small subunit ribosomal RNA", at positions 52 to 664 of the family's 1533-position model. The record is from RNAcentral.
CACAUGCAAGUCGAACGGCAGCAUGUCCUAGCUUGCUAGGAUGAUGGCGAGUGGCGAACGGGUGAGUAACGCGUGGGGAUCUGCCUUAAAGUGGGGGACAACCCGAGGAAACUCGGGCUAAUACCGCAUACGUCUUACGAGACAAAGUGUGCCUCUGUUUACAUGCACAUGCUUUAAGAGGAACCUGCGUCCGAUUAGCUUGUUGGUGGGGUAAAGGCCUACCAAGGCGACGAUCGGUAGCUGGUCUGAGAGGACGAACAGCCACACUGGGACUGAGACACGGCCCAGACUCCGGGAGGCAGCAGUGAGGAAUAUUGGACAAUGGCGCAAGCCUGAUCCAGCAAUGCCGCGUGUGUGAAGAAGGCCUUCGGGUUGUAAAGCACUUUCAAUGGGGAAGAAAGGCCUAAGGUUAAUACCCUUAGGAGUUGACGUUACCCAUAGAAGAAGCACUGGCUAACUCUGUGCCAGCAGCCGCGGUAAUACAGAGAGUGCGAGCGUUAAUCGGAAUUACUGGGCGUAAAGCGCGCGUAGGUGGAUGUUUAAGUCGAAUGUGAAAGCCCCGGGCUUAACCUGGGAAUUGCAUUCGAUACUGGACGACUAGAGUAUAGUAGAGGGUAGUGG